UGCAACAGGAUUCUUCUGCACAUGUU
RNAcentral lists this unclassified non-coding RNA (26 nucleotides) under Mus musculus (house mouse). RNAcentral describes it as "oocyte_clustered_small_RNA7720". The record is from RNAcentral. Lineage: Eukaryota; Metazoa; Chordata; Mammalia; Rodentia; Muridae.